UUCAGUACUAGAUUCAUUCUCUGAUUGGGUCAGUUCAUGCUGCAAGAGAUCGGUUGGAAGACAUCCUCCGGGAGUUGUCAGUUACUGUAUUUGUUUUUCCUCCUGAAAAUCACUGAGGAGGAUGGUCCUCCCCUUCCUCCUCUGAGAAGCCUACACUGGUGUGUAUAUUUACAUCAGAGGCAACCACUGGUCUGUAUAUUUGUGUCACUGGUAACCACUGGAGUGGAAACCAAGAGAUGCUUCAAUCUGGGUUUCCUAUGGCAACUGACACACAGCAGUUUAAUAAUAGGCUCAUAGUUGAGAAGCAGGAAGAUAGCGCCAUUCCCAACCAUAAGGGGAAUUCCAGCGGACAGACACACCAGUUCCACAGUGUGAGCCAACACACACACAUGGGCACAUAACAAAUAAAAAAACACACAGAAAUCUCACAGGUGCAAGACCCGUGGCUUGUUCCACCAUUACCCCUGGGUCUUUAUCCACUACAAUAGUUAUUGUCUCUGAUGUUUACACUCAACUCUAAAUUAUCCCAAAUGAAGUUGCAGUGACAAAAACAAGAGAGGAAACGUCUGUAAUGAUAUGUGUCUCUGCUUCGGCACCUGGACCUGGUUUACAACAACACAUUACACAAGGCAGUGAAAGAAAUGUUUUUAAAAAACGGAAAGGUUACAGCUGUAAGGAUGGGACUGUGAUUAGGCCUAGUCUGAUUAUUAGGCAACAACAUUCUCCACAAAACUUUGACCAUGACAGCCUUUUAUGAUGAUCAUCAUUAGCAUCUAUUACAUUUUAUCUUCCUAAACAAACAUGUAUUUAAAGUGCAUUGCAUUAUUAUGUUCACUAUAAGUGAAUGACCAGUCAGAGCCGACUCUACUGCAAUUGAGCUGCUGUCCCUCCUUCCACCGGCCUGAUUUAAACCUAAAUCCGGCUGAGCGGACACUCAAAUCCGAGGAUUGGUGGGCCGGAAAAUUAAAUCACAGCGGCUUUAUAAUUCUGUGAUUAAAAACAUUAUUUUUUUUAAAGUCUUACGGUGGAUUGUAAGACCACUACUCACAUAAACUAUAACAGCUAGCCAACUUGAUAUCAGUUGCCUAAUCAUGAUAGCACACUUAUAUGAACGAACUGUCAAACGGGAAUUGAGAGCUGGAGCGCAAUAGAGAUACAUUGUUGUAGCAAUGGCAAUGCUACAUUGUUGCAAUUCUAGCCUACUAAACUUCCGCAAUCAAAACAAUAACACUUCUGCGAUUGGGAAGUGUUGUAUGCUAUGAAGAAUAGGCUAGAAUGGGGAUAUCCUACCUCUUAAAAUCCAGAAUCCUUAUGUCUUCUCGUCUUCAUACUCAUCUACAAACGAAAAACAUGUCACAGUGUAGCGACAAUUAGGCUAUUUGGGUCAAUAGCCAGAUCACAUGCAAUGCUAAAUCGUAUAGGCCUAUGGCAUUGCACCUUUCUAAACGAUAAAAACAUUGCUUUGUCAAGUUUUGGAGCGGCAAAGAAAAUGUGUAGGGUAGUUAGUAGUAGACAAACGUAUUUAUGUUCAGAAAAUUACAAUAUUUUUCGGAUUUAAACAACAAAAAUCAUGCAGCGUCAGUCUAGGAAUAUCAAACGGGCAGUUACACUGAAGUUAACAUGCGAGAUUAAUACAGAGAAAAGUACAACAUUAGCCUAACUUGAUAUGUUUGUUUGAAGAGAUAGCUGAUCUACAGCGUCUAGGCUACACGAUUAGCCUACUACAAAGAGAACGCUACACUUGUUGCACACAAACACGCGCAAUUAAACAAUUGAACUUAUUUCAUGUGUUUUUCAGAUAGGGUAGAAUAAAACUCGCUCAUAAAAAGUAGGCCUACUUUCUAUUGGGGUGUAUUCAUUACGCCAAUUCUUUUGCAAAACGUUUUGAAGGAAAAAACGUUGUCGGCCCCUCCCCGUUUCGUUCCUUUUGUUUCUUAAACGGAAAACGGUUUCCGUUGCAAGACGUACUGAACACACCCUUGGUCUAGAUUCGGUAACUUACUUUCUCAUGGAUCCCGUGUUUGUCACAGGCCUAGCCUAGUGAUCUGCGUGGAGGAUCAUUAUCUCCAGACUUACUUAUGCAGCCCAGUCCCUACAUCUUGACAACAAAAUAGGUAAAGCGGUUGAUCUGAUGCUUUUCAACUUAAUCUGGAAAAAUUGUACACAUUAUAUUAGGAAAUCUGUCAUUAUGAACACAUAUGAAUAUGGUGGUCUCAAAUUUGUAGAUUGUCCUACUUUGAAUAAUACUUUUAAGAUAAAUUGGGCUAAACAUGUAUUAAAGAAUCCAACUUCAAUUUUAUGUUUCUUUAUUUUUUUUGUUUUUUUUCCAUCUUCAUUUAACCAGGUAGGCCAGUUGAGAACAAGUUCUCAUUUACAACUGCGACCUGGCCAAGAUAAAGCAAACAGGUGCGACACAAACAACAACAACAUGGAAGUUACACAUGCAAUAAACAAACAUACAGUCAAUUAACACGAUAGAAAAAAAUCUAUAUACAGUGUGUGCAAAUGAGGUAAAAUAAGGCAGGUAGGCAGAUGUGUAACCAGACCUCACCUUCUUCUCAUCUACCCUCGCUUCCAGUUGACUCACCAAUAGGAAAAAUGUGUUUCUCCUUGCCCCCUCCGAACAACAGAUCUAUACAUGCUUUUUUCAAAGGGAUAUUGUAUCCAUUCCUUAUAUCACAAGUUGCUGGACUACAUUUGUCAAUAAUAUCUGUUGGAAAAAAGUCUGGUUAUUACCACACAAAUAUCUGCUUGUUAACAAGUUCAAAGAGGUCUCUUUCAGAAUGAUCCAUAAGUAUUACCUUGCGAAUCAUUACCUGAAGAAACUAAAAAAAAAAUACAUUAACAUUAACUGUACUUUUUGUGUUGAGCAUCCAGAAACAGUUUAGCAUUUAUUUUGAUAUUGUCUACAUGUAAAAAAAAGUUCUGGAAAGAUAUUCAUAGUUUUAUAAUUGUUAAUAUUCUUGAUGACUUUUGUUCAUGAGAGAAUGUGCUGCUCGGUUUCCUUAACCAUAAUAAGGAUAAAGAAAAACAAUUUGACCUCAUCAAACGAAUUGUGCUAAUGGAAAAAUGUCACAUUCAUAAAUGUAAAUUCACGAAUAAAAAAAACACUCUUCUGUGUUUUCUAUAAGGAAUUCGAGCAGUACAUUAAGACCAUUCAACAUUGUUCUAAUAAAAAAGCUGUUAAAACAAUAUAUGUGUUUCUUUUAAUGUUUUUGUAUAAUCUGAAAUGUGUUGUGCCCCCUAGCAUAUGUUAUCAUUGUUUGUUUGUAUACUUCUUGCAUGUAUAUACUGGUUUUUCUGGGGGGGGAAAGGGGGGAAAGCAUGGAGGAUCAUGAGCACAUCAUGUAUUACAAGUGUUUGUCAGACAAAAGUUAAAUAGGCCUAUAUGUAUUUUAAAAUGUAGGAUAGGCUAUUUAAAUGUUUUCUACGCAUGGUCACCUCACAUUUCACAAAGAAAAAUAAAACAAAUAACACUUCAUUUUAAUUUGAUAGCCAAUUAAAAUGGAAAGGACAAUAGGGCCUAACAUUUAUUUUUGGUCAAAAUGUAUCUCUCUAUUCAGUGACGUCACCAACUCUGUAAUCUCACAAACACAGUCUGUGAUCACCUGUGGCCCAAUUUGUCAAAACAGAUUUGGGAAUGCUCCUUUAGAACAUCCACAAUGGAACGUCCCUCUCUUGGAACGUCAGACUCAAAAAAUAUGUCUUGCUUCAGAUUCUUAGAAUCGGAAUUAAAAUCAAAUAAAAAUGUAUUGUUCGGGUACACAUACUGUAUUCUGCAGAUGCUAUCGUAGGUGCAGCAAAAUGCUUAUGUUUCUAGCUCCAACACUGCAGUCAGUGUACUUAAUAAUACACACAUAUCCCCCAAAUAAAAAAGAAAUUAAGAAAUAUCAGUAAGACCAAUGUCAGAGUCCGGAAUAUAAAUAUAUAUGCACUGUACAAUAUGUACAGUUGAAGUCGGAAGUUCACAUACACUUAGGUUGAAGUCAAUAAAACUCGUUUUUCAACCACUACACAACUUUCUUGUUAACAAACUAUAGUUUUGGCAAGUCGGUUAGGGAAUCUAAGUCAUUUUCCAACAAUUGUUUACAGACAGAUUAUUUCACUUAAACUUCACUGUAUCACAAUUCCAGUGAGUCAAGAAGUUUACAUACACUAAUUUGACUGUGCCUUUAAACAGCUUGGAAAAUUCCAGAAAAUUAUGUCAUGGCUUUAGAAGCUUCUGAUAGGCUUAUUGACAUAACUUGAGUCAAUUAGAGGUGUACCUGUGGAUGUAUUUCAAGGCCAACCUUCAAACUCGGUGCAUCUUUGCUUGACAUCAUGGGAAAAUCAAAAGAAAUCAGCCAAGUCCUCAAAAAAUGUGUAUACCUCCACAAAUCUGGUUCAUCCUUGGGAGCAAUUUCCAAAUGCCUGAAGGUACCACAUUCAUCUGUACAAACAAUCGUACGCAAGUAUAAACACCAUGGGACCACACAGCUGUCAUAACACUCAGGAAAGAGACACGUUCUGUCUCCUAGAGAUGAACGUGCUUUGGUGUGAAAAGUGCAAAUCAAUCCCAGAACAACAGCAAAGGACCUUGUGAAGAUGCUGGAGGAAACAGUCACAAAAGUAUCUAUAUCCACAGUAAAAUGAGUCCUAUAAUCGACAUAACCUGAAAGGUCGCUCAGCAAGGAAGAAGUCACUGCUCCAAAACCGCCAUAAAAAAAGCCAGACUACGUUUUGCAACUACACAUGGGGACAAAGAUCGUACUAUUUGGAAAAAUGUCCUCUGGUCUGAUGAAACAAAAAUGGAACUGUUUGGCCAUAAUGACCAUCGUUAUGUUUGGAGGAAAAGGUGGAGGCUAGCAAGCUGAAGCACACCAUCCCAACUGUGAAGCACGGGGUGGCAGCUUUGCACACCUGUAUUUGGGGAGCCCUUCUCCCCCAAUUGCUUAGUUUGGCCAGGUGGCCAGCUCUAGGAAGAGUCUUGGUUGUUCCAAACUUCUUCCAUUUAAGAAUGAAGGCGACUGUGUUCUUGGGGACCUUCAAUGCUGCUGAAAUGUUUUGGUACCCUUCCCCAAGUCUGAGCCUCAACACAAUCCUGUCUCGGAGCUCUAUAGACAAUUCCUUCAACCUCAUGGAUUGAUUUUUGCUCUGACAUGCACUGUCAACUGUGGGACCUAAUAUAGAAGGGUGUGUGCCUUUCCAAAUCAUGUCCAAUCAAUUUAAUUUACCACAGGUGGACUCCAAUCAAGUUGUAGAAACAUCUCAAAGAUGAUCAAUGGAAACAGGAUGCACCUGAACUCAAUUUGAAGUUUGAAUACUUACGUAAAUAAGGUAUUUCUGUUUUUUAAAUGUUUAAUACAUUUCUAAAAACCUGUUUCCGCUUUGUCAAUAUGGGGUAUUGUGUGUAAAAUGAUGAGGAACAUUUUUUAUUUAAUAUUUUUUAGAAUAAGGCUAUAACGCAAGAAAAUGUGAAAGUCAAGGAUACAUUUGAAGUGGGUAAAAAAUUAUGAAAACAUUAUUACAUAGACAAGUAUUUAAUGACUAUGCACAUAGGGCAGCAGUCUCUCAGGUGCAGGGUAGAGUAUCUGAUGGUAGCCAUCUAGUAACAGUGACUAAAUUCAGGUCAGGUUGCUACUGUAGGUGGAGACCAGCUAGUGGUGACUAUUUAACAGUCUAAUCCAAAGAUUCUGUUUUUCAUUCUCUUUGUCCCAGCUUUGAUGCACCUGUACUGUCUCCUCCUUCUAGAUGGCAGUGGGGUAAACAGGCUCGGGUGGUUGAGGUCGUUGUUGAUUUUCUUGGCCUUCCUGUGGCACCGGGUGCUGUAGAUGUCCUGGAGGGCAGGCAGUAUGCCCCAAGUCAUUCGUUGGGCUGAUGCACCACCCUCUGGAAAGCCCUGCGGUUGCGGUCGGUGCAAUUGCUGUACCAGGUGGUGAUACAGCUCGACAGGAUGCUCUCAAUGGUGCAUCUGUAGACGUUUGAGAGGGUCUUAGGGGCCAAGACGAAUUUCUACAGCCUCCUGAGGUUGAAGAGACACUUUUGUGCCUUCUUCACCACACUGUCUGUGUGGAUGGACCAAUUCAGGUUGAAAGUGCACACCGAGGAACUUGAAGCUUUUCACCCUCUCCACUGCAGCACCGUCGAUGUCGAUUGGGGCGCGCUCUCGCUGCUGUUUCCUGAAGUUCACGAUCAGCUCCUUCAUUUUGUUGACGUUUAGGGAGAGGUUAUUUUCCUGCCACCAAUCCACCAGGGCCCUCACCUCCUCCCUAUAGGCUGUCUCGUCAUUGUUGGUAAACAGGCCUACCACUGUUGUGUCAUCAGCAAACUUGAUGAUUGAGUUGGAGACGUCUGUGGUCACGCAGUCAUGGGUGAACAGGGAGUACAUGAGGGGGCUGAGCACGCACCCUUGUGGGGCCCCCGUGUUGAAGAUCAGCGUGGCAGAGGUGUUGUUGCCUACCUUCAACACCUGAGGUCGUCCUGACAGGAAGUAGUUGCACAAUCAUCCCCUAAUCAUGAUCAUCAGUUUAGAAUGCAAUUUGAUUAAUCAGCUGUGUUUGCUAGGGAUGGAGAAAAAGUGUGACACCAAUCAGGCCCUCGAGGACUGGAGUUGCCCACCCCUGUUCUAGGGUGUCGGGUAAGGUGGAGCCGAUAUGAUCCUUAACUAGCCUCCCAAAGCACUCCAUGAUGACAGAAGUGAGUGCCAGGGGCGAUAGUCAUUUAGUUCAGUUACCUUCAUUUUCUUGGGUACAGGAACACAUUUUUUGUACCGUAGCUGCACCUAUGGACAUAGGCUGCUGGGAACUUCUUUUAAACAACAUUUAAGAGGGUCUUUAAUGUUGGUAGAAGCCUAUGAAAAUGCAAAAAAAAGUCAAAUUGACCAUAUUUGUUGACAAUUGUGACCAUUCGAUCAAAAGCAUAAUCCAUUGGAUUAUCCACAUUCUAACCUGAUUUGGACUGAGAGCUCUAGAGUUGCUAGACUGAAAUGGCUUGAGUCUAGAAUCUACUCCACCCUGGAGGUCCUCCCUGGGGUUCAUGGCUCUCUCUAAUGUUUCUUGGAGGACUUCUACCAAGAAGAACACUGAGACAUCACUCAUUCAUUUACCUACCACCUACUAGGGAUUCUACAAUAAAUGGCCUUGAUAUCAGCUAUACCAGGUCAAGUAGGAUAGUUACAUUAGACAGACAGACAUGAUGCAGUCUAGAUGGAAAUGUAUGAAUGGAUUUCGAGCUACAUUUUACAUUUACAUUUUAGGGUAAUGCCAUGCUCAAGGGCACAUCGACAGAAUCUUCACCUAGUCGGCUCAGAGAGUCGAACCAGCAUUGUUUUGGUUACUGGUCCAACACACUGAACCAGAGUUGUGGACUGGAGUCACAUUUGAGUCGGACUCAAAUCACACAUUUGAUGACUUGAGACUGGACUUGGAUUUGGAGCAUCAAGACUCCAGACUCAACUUUGGCUUGAGACUGAUGACUUGAAAUUAUCUGGCCAAGUUUUGUAAUGUUUUGUCACUCAUUUUGUGGCACAGUCUACAUGGAUUUAAUCUACACGCAGCCAGAAACAGUAGCCGCACCACCGCCCUUGUAAAAAAAAAAUGCAACAGAUUGGCACUCCGAUUGGACCAGAAAACUGUCAAUCAACAUAUGUCUUGUGAGCUCGCGAACAGAUUGCUGAUUUGCUGGAUAGCUACAGGAUUCGGUGCAGCGCAAACGUUAAAUUGUAGUGAGAGAGGUUUACCAUAAAAAUAAAUAUGCAGCUCCAAAAAGAGUUUGCUGAUCAAGAAUAUGAACUGUUUACAUUGCAAGCUAACCAGUAAUGGGGCAACAAUUACUAGCAUAGGACUACUGGUCUUUUGGUAUGUAACGAUUGCUUGAUAUUGAUCAUUUACGUAUGAAGUUUGCAUUUGGAAUGUAUUGUUCAAAUCUAAUGUGGCAAGGAAGCACCAUAAACGCUGUUCUCAAUUUGCACUCUCCAAAUUCCCGCCAUUGGAGAGUGCUUUUUUCCUCUUGUUAAACUAUUUGCCGUUGCUUUCACAUGUUUAAAUGCAUAGGCACUAUGUGGUAAAUCUAUUUCCCAUCUAAUACUGCAAUAAUUGCUAGCGUUUCAUCGUUCCAUUACCUUACAGUUUUUUGAAACACGUAGACAUGUCUGUCUCAUGUUUGAUAGACCUGCAAUACAUUUUAAUUUCAUAGCCAACCGUUUCUUACCCUGCUCAGAGUGGGCGCGAUGUGUAGUGCACAUGAUCAUUCGCAAAACUCAUCAGGUAGAAGUUAUGCUUAUUUAAUUCGAUCUAUAGUUCCCUUUGUUCGUAUUUCCCGGGUGUCAUAUGUCUGUCAUUUUUGCUGUGCGUAAUAGGCUCCACGCUUUGGAGUCAUAAAGUUGAAUAGGAUACAAUUAUUGUUCCGUGUUGGAAUAUCCUUAAUAAUCAUUCAAUCUGAUUAAGACGAAUGUAACAAUGGAUGUGGAAAUUGCGUUUUACAUUGUAGAACACGUUUAUUGGUUGUAAUUGCCAAUUGGGUAAAUGUAUGCUCCUGCGGGAUGGGGGCCAAGUGCUUAUUAUGUACUGUAUAGUACUGUACUGUAUCGAUUUGGUUGAUCAGAUAGGACAGGUUAAGCCUGAUACAGAGGCUAUUUCUUUUGGGCUAAUACCCGUGUAUAUUUGGUAAAUCUACUUGUAUAUUUUGUAUGAUAUGGCGCUUUCUCCAUUGGAUCACCAAAGACCUGUAAAUAAAUCUACACUCUGAGCACGUCAA
Oncorhynchus nerka (sockeye salmon) is the source of this 8733-nucleotide long non-coding RNA. RefSeq lists it as uncharacterized. NCBI's taxonomy places the organism in Eukaryota, Metazoa, Chordata, Actinopteri, Salmoniformes, Salmonidae. The record is from RefSeq and is a predicted model, not a curated record. The transcript has 2 exons.